This 1963-nucleotide long non-coding RNA is filed under the name Rattus norvegicus (Norway rat). RNAcentral's name for it is "long non-coding RNA NONRATT003789". The record is from RNAcentral. Lineage: Eukaryota; Metazoa; Chordata; Mammalia; Rodentia; Muridae.
GGAAGAGACCACCAAGAGUGUUUCUAAGGUGUAACUAGAGCUGUCAGUGUGGCUUAUCUCUCAGGAUGAAAGCACCCCUAGGAAGUGGCUUUUCAACAGAGGUCAAGCCAAUCCCGAAGUCCCCAGGGCCAUGGAGAAGAAGUGAAGACAGCGUUUGUUGCACUCUGCCAAGCUCUUGACUAGCCAGCUGAUGUGGGGCCUCCCGUCCUUUUCUUUUGGGUCUCAGGGAAGCUGGCUUGUAAAACACACCUUUGAGAAACCCAUUGCUUCACUUAGCAACUGUUGAUAAGCACCUACCAGUGCUGGAUGCUGGAAACAGGAGAGAAGGGGUUUGCUGAAAAUAGAUGAGGAAGGAAGAGGUCCCAGGCUGUCAGCCCAGCAGGUGCAGAGGCUGGAGUGACAUGGACAAGCAAGCCAUUCCAGCAACCAAAGGGACUCAGCUGAGCAGGGCUGUGCAGUGUGAGGGGAAGACUGGGCUGGCAGCAGGCAGGAGCAAUGGGCGUCACCUGAAGACGUUAGCCUUCCCUCUCAGGCAAUACUGUGCAGCAAAGGCUCUGAAAGGAAGGAGGAGACCAGGGCUCCAGGCUCCACCAAGGUGACCUGCAGGACAAGUGCUAGGGAGAGCCAGUGACCCUGGUCUGUGCUUUGUGAGGGAGAGAAGAGAGAAGCAGCUAGUCAGGGCAUGUGAGCAUCUGCAGAGGUGAUGUGGAGUCAAGGUUGAUGCCAGCGUUUCUGGUGGAGCAUUGAAAGUGCCCUUCAUUUGGGUGGGGACACUGAAAAUGGCCAGCUCCGAGAAUGGGGACGGUUCUGGGGUCACCAGAAAUGCACACAUAUAGAGAUGCCUAUAGGAGCGAGACACAGGCUGGCGCUUGCCAUGCUUGCAGCUCACGGAAGCUGGAGUCCUAUGUCACAUAGACGUACAGGGAGAGAAUGCGGCAUGGGAAGGCAGGGCACUGAGCUCACACAAAGGCUCAGGGAAAGGGCUGGAUUGGGGAGGGGUUGAAGGUCCAGAACAGAGGGGCUAUUUGCUCCUGAAACUGAGCUAGGACAUUGCCUCAGCCCUCGGUGCUCUGUGCCCCGCCCUCAGGUAUGUGCUGCUACAUCAUGUGAUGGGCAGCCUGGAGGGGAUGCAGGGUGCCUGGAGCUAUGUCCAGGGUGGCAUGGGUGCCCUCUCAGAUGCCAUUGCAAGCUCGGCUACUGCACAUGGAGCAAGUAUCUUCACAGAGAAGGUGUGAGCCCCUCUCCCCAACCCCGACUGUUAGCCUGGAUGCAGGGUGGAGGGUGGGACAGCCUCAGAUUCGGACAGACCCUUGAAUUACUGAUGAACCAAGUGAAGCCCAGAAUCCAGGCUCUCGCUUCUGAAACUGGUCAACCUUUCAAGUUCACCAGUCACAAAACCACGCAUGGGGCUGUGCUCCCUGGUGGGCAGGUUGCACCAGCGCACCCCGAGGAGCCCCUGGCUUGGAGGAUGGGUUGGGGAUAAAGAAGUAUGGGUGCCUAGGAACCGCACCCACUAUUCUCAACCUGGGCCUCCUUCUGGGGGACUUCGGGGAUCUCGUGCUGGGGCUCCAGACUGUGGCUAAGGUGCAAGUGAACAGCGAAGGCCGUGUCCAAGGGGUCGUGCUGCAGGGCGGCGAGGAGGUCAGGAGCAGAGUCGUCUUGUCCUGUGCGUCGCCACAGGUCACCUUCUUAGAGCUGACACCACAGGUGAGGCGGGUCAGGGGAGAGAUAAAAUGUCUGCCGCACAGGCCUUGGAGUGUGGUGUGGGGAGCUCGGAUUACAUCAGGCAGGAUGGAGAACUAAGGUUUAUCUGAGAAAGUCUGCAGCUUGCAAACAGUAGAGAAGCCUCAUGGGUUAUGGGAAGGUCCACAAAGGUGAGGGGACCGAGAACACACAGCUGGCAAUAGACUAAGCCAGUGCCAGGGCCUAGGUCUGGCUUAUAAUUCUUACCACUUUUCUUCUA